GAUGAACGCUGGCGGCGUGCCUAAUACAUGCAAGUCGAGCGAACGGACGAGAAGCUUGCUUCUCUUAUGUUAGCGGCGGACGGGUGAGUAACACGUGGAUAACCUACCUAUAAGACUGGGAUAACUUCGGGAAACCGGAGCUAAUACCGGAUAAUAUUUUGAACCGCAUGGUUCAAAAGUGAAAGACGGUCUUGCUGUCACUUAUAGAUGGAUCCGCGCUGCAUUAGCUAGUUGGUAAGGUAACGGCUUACCAAGGCAACGAUGCAUAGCCGACCUGAGAGGGUGAUCGGCCACACUGGAACUGAGACACGGUCCAGACUCCUACGGGAGGCAGCAGUAGGGAAUCUUCCGCAAUGGGCGAAAGCCUGACGGAGCAACGCCGCGUGAGUGAUGAAGGUCUUCGGAUCGUAAAACUCUGUUAUUAGGGAAGAACAGAUGUGUAAGUAACUGUGCACAUCUUGACGGUACCUAAUCAGAAAGCCACGGCUAACUACGUG
Molecule: ribosomal RNA, 497 nt
Filed under: uncultured bacterium
Lineage: Bacteria
Description: partial 16S ribosomal RNA
Rfam family: Bacterial small subunit ribosomal RNA
Source: RNAcentral